Molecule: ribosomal RNA, 240 nt
Filed under: uncultured bacterium
Lineage: Bacteria
Description: partial 16S ribosomal RNA
Rfam family: Bacterial small subunit ribosomal RNA
Source: RNAcentral
GUAAUCCUACGGGGGGCAGCAGUAGGGAAUCUUCCACAAUGGGCGAAAGCCUGAUGGAGCAACGCCGCGUGGGUGAAGAAGGUCUUCGGAUCGUAAAACCCUGUUGUUAGAGAAGAAAGUGCGUGAGAGUAACUGUUCACGUUUCGACGGUAUCUAACCAGAAAGCCACGGCUAACUACGUGCCAGCAGCCGUGGUACUACGUAGGUGGCAAGCGUUAUCCGGAUUUAUUGGGCGUAACG